AUAUGGUCAAGUGAAGAAGCGCAUACGGUGGAUGCCUUGGCAGUCAGAGGCGAUGAAAGACGUGGUAGCCUGCGAAAAGCUUCGGGGAGUCGGCAAACAGACUUUGAUCCGGAGAUGUCUGAAUGGGGGAACCCAGCCAUCAUAAGAUGGUUACCUUACACUGAAUACAUAGGUGUAUGGAGCGAACCAGGGGAACUGAAACAUCUAAGUACCCUGAGGAAAAGAAAUCAACCGAGAUUCCCUUAGUAGUGGCGAGCGAACGGGGACUAGCCCUUAAGUGGCUUUGAGAUUAGCGGAACGCUCUGGAAAGUGCGGCCAUAGUGGGUGAUAGCCCUGUACGCGAAAAUCUCUUAGUCAUGAAAUCGAGUAGGACGGAGCACGAGAAACUUUGUCUGAAUAUGGGGGGACCAUCCUCCAAGGCUAAAUACUACUGACUGACCGAUAGUGAACUAGUACCGUGAGGGAAAGGCGAAAAGAACCCCGGAGAGGGGAGUGAAAUAGAUCCUGAAACCGUAUGCGUACAAGCAGUGGGAGCCCACUUUGUUGGGUGACUGCGUACCUUUUGUAUAAUGGGUCAGCGACUUAUUUUCAGUGGCGAGCUUAACCGAAUAGGGGAGGCGUAGCGAAAGCGAGUCUUAAUAGGGCGUCUAGUCGCUGGGAAUAGACCCGAAACCGGGCGAUCUAUCCAUGGGCAGGUUGAAGGUUGGGUAACACUAACUGGAGGACCGAACCGACUACCGUUGAAAAGUUAGCGGAUGACCUGUGGAUCGGAGUGAAAGGCUAAUCAAGCUCGGAGAUAGCUGGUUCUCCUCGAAAGCUAUUUAGGUAGCGCCUCAUGUAUCACUGUAGGGGGUAGAGCACUGUUUCGGCUAGGGGGUCAUCCCGACUUACCAAACCGAUGCAAACUCCGAAUACCUACAAGUGCCGAGCAUGGGAGACACACGGCGGGUGCUAACGUCCGUCGUGAAAAGGGAAACAACCCAGACCGUCAGCUAAGGUCCCAAAGUUAUGGUUAAGUGGGAAACGAUGUGGGAAGGCUUAGACAGCUAGGAGGUUGGCUUAGAAGCAGCCACCCUUUAAAGAAAGCGUAAUAGCUCACUAGUCGAGUCGGCCUGCGCGGAAGAUGUAACGGGGCUCAAACCAUACACCGAAGCUACGGGUAUCACGUAAGUGAUGCGGUAGAGGAGCGUUCUGUAAGCCUGUGAAGGUGAGUUGAGAAGCUUGCUGGAGGUAUCAGAAGUGCGAAUGCUGACAUGAGUAACGACAAUGGGUGUGAAAAACACCCACGCCGAAAGACCAAGGUUUCCUGCGCAACGUUAAUCGACGCAGGGUUAGUCGGUCCCUAAGGCGAGGCUGAAAAGCGUAGUCGAUGGAAAACAGGUUAAUAUUCCUGUACUUCUGGUUAUUGCGAUGGAGGGACGGAGAAGGCUAGGCCAGCUUGGCGUUGGUUGUCCAAGUUUAAGGUGGUAGGCUGAGAUCUUAGGUAAAUCCGGGAUCUUAAGGCCGAGAGCUGAUGACGAGUCGUCUUUUAGACGACGAAGUGGUUGAUGCCAUGCUUCCAAGAAAAGCUUCUAAGCUUCAGGUAACCAGGAACCGUACCCCAAACCGACACAGGUGGUUGGGUAGAGAAUACCAAGGCGCUUGAGAGAACUCGGGUGAAGGAACUAGGCAAAAUGGCACCGUAACUUCGGGAGAAGGUGCGCCGGUGAGGGUGAAGGACUUGCUCCGUAAGCUCAUGCCGGUCGAAGAUACCAGGCCGCUGCGACUGUUUAUUAAAAACACAGCACUCUGCAAACACGAAAGUGGACGUAUAGGGUGUGACGCCUGCCCGGUGCCGGAAGGUUAAUUGAUGGGGUUAGCUAACGCGAAGCUCUUGAUCGAAGCCCCGGUAAACGGCGGCCGUAACUAUAACGGUCCUAAGGUAGCGAAAUUCCUUGUCGGGUAAGUUCCGACCUGCACGAAUGGCGUAACGAUGGCGGCGCUGUCUCCACCCGAGACUCAGUGAAAUUGAAAUCGCUGUGAAGAUGCAGUGUAUCCGCGGCUAGACGGAAAGACCCCGUGAACCUUUACUAUAGCUUUGCACUGGACUUUGAAUUUGCUUGUGUAGGAUAGGUGGGAGGCUUUGAAGCGUGGACGCCAGUCUGCGUGGAGCCAACCUUGAAAUACCACCCUGGCAACUUUGAGGUUCUAACUCAGGUCCGUUAUCCGGAUCGAGGACAGUGUAUGGUGGGUAGUUUGACUGGGGCGGUCUCCUCCUAAAGAGUAACGGAGGAGUACGAAGGUGCGCUCAGACCGGUCGGAAAUCGGUCGUAGAGUAUAAAGGCAAAAGCGCGCUUGACUGCGAGACAGACACGUCGAGCAGGUACGAAAGUAGGUCUUAGUGAUCCGGUGGUUCUGUAUGGAAGGGCCAUCGCUCAACGGAUAAAAGGUACUCCGGGGAUAACAGGCUGAUACCGCCCAAGAGUUCAUAUCGACGGCGGUGUUUGGCACCUCGAUGUCGGCUCAUCACAUCCUGGGGCUGAAGCCGGUCCCAAGGGUAUGGCUGUUCGCCAUUUAAAGUGGUACGCGAGCUGGGUUUAGAACGUCGUGAGACAGUUCGGUCCCUAUCUGCCGUGGACGUUUGAGAUUUGAGAGGGGCUGCUCCUAGUACGAGAGGACCGGAGUGGACGAACCUCUGGUGUUCCGGUUGUCACGCCAGUGGCAUUGCCGGGUAGCUAUGUUCGGAAUAGAUAACCGCUGAAAGCAUCUAAGCGGGAAACUAGCCUCAAGAUGAGAUCUCACUGGAACCUUGAGUUCCCUGAAGGGCCGUCGAAGACUACGACGUUGAUAGGUUGGGUGUGUAAGCGCUGUGAGGCGUUGAGCUAACCAAUACUAAUUGCCCGUGAGGCUUGACCAU
RNAcentral lists this ribosomal RNA (2896 nucleotides) under Pseudomonas orientalis. Its description in RNAcentral is "bacterial LSU rRNA". It matches the Rfam family "Bacterial large subunit ribosomal RNA". The record is from RNAcentral. Lineage: Bacteria; Pseudomonadati; Pseudomonadota; Gammaproteobacteria; Pseudomonadales; Pseudomonadaceae.